RNAcentral lists this transfer RNA (71 nucleotides) under Bacteroidaceae bacterium. RNAcentral describes it as "tRNA-Gln". It matches the Rfam family "tRNA". Rfam says of the family: Transfer RNA (tRNA) molecules are approximately 80 nucleotides in length. Their secondary structure includes four short double-helical elements and three loops (D, anti-codon, and T loops). Lineage: Bacteria; Pseudomonadati; Bacteroidota; Bacteroidia; Bacteroidales; Bacteroidaceae. The record is from RNAcentral.
AGGAGUUUGGUGUAAUGGUAGCACAUGAAACUUUGGAUUUCACGGAAGAGGUUCGAGUCCUCUAACCCCUA